This 71-nucleotide transfer RNA is filed under the name Loxodonta africana (African savanna elephant). It matches the Rfam family "tRNA". From Rfam's summary of the family: Transfer RNA (tRNA) molecules are approximately 80 nucleotides in length. Lineage: Eukaryota; Metazoa; Chordata; Mammalia; Proboscidea; Elephantidae. The record is from Rfam by way of RNAcentral.
GUGUUGGUGGUUCAGUGGAGGAAUUUUUGCCUUCCAUGCAGAAGACUUGGGUUUGAUUGCCAGCCAGUGUA